UCCCUGGUGGUGGUCUAGUGGCUAAGACUCCAUACUCCCAAUGUGGGGGGCCUGGGUUCGAUCCCUGGUCAGGGAA
This is a non-coding RNA of Budorcas taxicolor (takin), 76 nucleotides long. Lineage: Eukaryota; Metazoa; Chordata; Mammalia; Artiodactyla; Bovidae. The record is from the annotation of a RefSeq genome assembly.